RNAcentral lists this long non-coding RNA (655 nucleotides) under Anas platyrhynchos platyrhynchos (common mallard). RNAcentral describes it as "lncRNA (ENSAPLG00000025559.1)". The record is from RNAcentral. Lineage: Eukaryota; Metazoa; Chordata; Aves; Anseriformes; Anatidae.
AAAAUAUUGGAACAUCCCACAGCCUAUUGAGCUCUCCUGUACUGCAGGCUGUGUGCCAGUGUGCCAGGAUCUUCUUGAAGAGAGAGAUGACUCAAGGUUACUCCUUGAGGUUGAGAGAUUCCUUACCUCUGACAGAUACUGGACGCAGAGCAAAUGUUGUCAAUGUCACCAAAGGCAAGAUCUUGGAAAGAAUUUAAGUACCUGAAGUGGAAGAGCAGCACAUUUGAAGUCUAAGUCUAAACCUGUGUGGUCGAGAUCCCGCAGAGCUCUUUCUUAUAUUUGACAGGUCUGUAAUCUGUAAGCACUUCAAUUCUUGACCUUAAAGUUGCCCAGAUGCUUAAAUCACUGCUACUGCAGUUGUCAGAAGUAUCUCAAUCCUGGUAGUUCAGCAAUUCAACUCUAACUCAAGGAUCCAGAAACUAGGCACCUACUGCCUUCCGUCUUUGAGAGGUAUGAUCUGCUAAGCUUCCUAAGACAUACUGAUAACUGAGCAUGCAGUGAUAGCUGCUGCUUUCUUUCAAAGCACAACUAGAGGAUAAACCUCCCUUUUCACUUAGAGAUUUGGUUAUUUUAAUACGACAGUGUGAACCCAGGUUCAGUUCUUCCUUUCCUGAAAAAGUAAAUAAAUCUUAUGCUUCUUAGCUCUUUAGACUCA